GAUGAACGCUGGCGGCGUGCCUAAUACAUGCAAGUCGAGCGAACGGACGAGAAGCUUGCUUCUCUGAUGUUAACGGCGGACGGGUGAGUAACACGUGGAUAACCUACCUAUAAGACUGGGAUAACUUCGGUAAACCGGAGCUAAUACCGGAUAAUAUUUUGAACCGCAUGGUUCAAAAGUGAAAGACGGUCUUGCUGUCACUUAUAGAUGGAUCCGCGCUGCAUUAGCUAGUUGGUAAGGUAACGGCUUACCAAGGCAACGAUGCGUAGCCGAUCUGAGAGGGUGAUCAGCCACACUGGAACUGAGACACGGUCCAGACUCCUACGGGAGGCAGCAGUAGGGAAUUUUCCGCAAUGGGCGAAAGCCUGACGGAGCAACGCCGCGUGAGUGAUGAAGGUCUUCGGAUCGUAAAACUCUGUUAUUAGGGAAGAACAUAUGUGUAAGUAACUGUGCACAUCUUGACGGUACCUAAUCAGAAAGCCACGGCUAACUACGUG
RNAcentral lists this ribosomal RNA (497 nucleotides) under uncultured bacterium. RNAcentral's name for it is "partial 16S ribosomal RNA". It matches the Rfam family "Bacterial small subunit ribosomal RNA", at positions 28 to 507 of the family's 1533-position model. The record is from RNAcentral.